UACGGAGGAUGCAAGCGUUAUCCGGAUUCAUUGGGUUUAAAGGGUGCGCAGGCGGGGGAAGUAAGUCAGUGGUGAAAAGACUGCCGCUCAACGGUAGUCUUGCCAAUGAUACUGUUAGACUUGAAUAUGGAUGAGGUAGGCGGAAUGUGUAGUGUAGCGGUGAAAUGCAUAGAUAUUACACAGAACACCGAUUGCGAAGGCAGCUUACUAAAUCCAUCAUUGACUCUGAGGCACGAAAGACGUGGGGAGUCAAA
RNAcentral lists this ribosomal RNA (254 nucleotides) under uncultured prokaryote. RNAcentral's name for it is "partial 16S ribosomal RNA". It matches the Rfam family "Bacterial small subunit ribosomal RNA", at positions 524 to 773 of the family's 1533-position model. The record is from RNAcentral.